Molecule: long non-coding RNA, 2989 nt
Filed under: Erythranthe guttata (spotted monkey flower)
Lineage: Eukaryota; Viridiplantae; Streptophyta; Magnoliopsida; Lamiales; Phrymaceae
Description: long non-coding RNA (EGUT_LNC002757)
Source: RNAcentral
CUUCUUCCUUUUUGUUCAAUCGGCGGUGCACUCCAGCCCGGUUUCUUCUUCCUUUCGUGCAAACGGCGGUACAGGUACCUGUGAAUUUAAUUUAGUUUGAGAAUUUCUCCGUCAUCUGCUUCGAUUUUUAACAAUAAAAAAUAUGUGAUGAUUUCUCGACAGGUAUACUAAAAUUACUGAAGAACUCUGGCAGGUAAUACAAGUCUUUGUUUCAUGACCUGAAUAUUUUGUUUCAAAAUUAUUUAAUAUUUUUUUUUCUCGAACAAAAUUGUAUGAUCUUUCGUCUUAUUGAUGAAUUUGGUGCACCUUAAACGAAAUUAGGGUGGAUUGGGUGAGAUUUGGUUCAACGUGGGAUUGGGUGAGAUUUAGUAUGGUGAUGUAAAAAAAAUCUGAUUACAGUGGAUAAUUAUGUGGAAAUUAAAAGUUUGGAAUAAAUUCAUAAAGUAAUAGAGUAUGAAUUCACAUGUUAAUGCUGGUUAAGAUAUUUCUUUAUAUAUAUUUUUUUAUUUUUUGAAUUUCUUGGAAAAAUUCAUUCAUUUAUUGUUUCAAUUUUUUGUUGUUGUCUGAUGAAGAUUUGGGAUUAUCAUACUGUGAUUUUUGAAAUUUAUUGUUUGAAUAUUAACUCCAUAAAUUAAAUAUUGUGUUUGGAAUUCUCAUACAGGCUAAUUUUUGAAUUCCCUAUCUUGAAGCUAUUUUACUCAAAGACAGAAGGUGUUAUACAGGUUUGAAUAAAAAAUACUAGAAAAAUUCUAUUCCUUAACUCUGUAUUGCAGUUUGUCUCCAUAUAUAUAUAUAUAUAUAUAUAUAUAUAUAUAUAUAUAUAUAUAUAUAUAUAUUUUUAUUGUCUAUUAUAAUAGUUGCCUUUCCAGUCGAAACUAUUAGCAUGGAUAGAAAAUGGAUGGAUUCCCCAAGGUCAAGCACAGAGUAUCAAACAGGAUUGCAUAGUUUUCUUAACUUUGCCUUCUCAAAUUCAAACGAUGGGCUAAUCUUGUGCCCCUGUAAGAAAUGUAGAAACGGUAUUUGCAAAACACGGAAAGUAGUAGUAGAACAUCUUCUUUGGCAUGGUUUUUUAAGUGGGUACACAAAAUGGAUUCUUCAUGGAGAGUUGUUUACUGAUGAAGAAGAACUUGUAUUGCAAGAUGAUGAUGUGACAGUUAAUGAUUAUAAUGUUCAAGGAAUGUUACGUGAUAGAUUUGGAAUGCAAGAUGAAUUUGAAACAACGCCGCCAAUAGAAGAGGUGGAGAGACCGUGCAAAGAAGCUGAGAAAUUUUAUAAACUUAUGGCAGAUGCAGAAAAAGAGCUUUAUCCUGGAUGUCAAAGGUUUUCUAGACUUUCUUUCAUUAUUCGAUUACUCCAAAUUAAGUGUCUUGGAAAUUGGACCGAUAAUUCUUUUACUUUGAUACUUAAUUUGUUGAGAGAAUCAUUUCCAGAAGGUGUCCAAUUACCCAAAAAUUACUACGAGACCAAAAAAAUACUAAAGGAUUUGGGUUUGAAUUAUACGAAGAUUGAUGCAUGUAGAAAUGAUUGCAUGCUAUAUUGGGGUGUCAAUGAGAGUAAGAUCAGAUGCGAGACUUGUGAUGAGCCACGGUGGAUAAUACCAGAACUUAGUCAAGCUGAUCAAGGUGUUUCUUCAAAAAAAUCAAAGAAAGAAAAGAAAGUCUCGGCAAAAGUAAUGUGGCACUUCCCACUGAAACCAAGGUUGCAGCGAUUUAAAUUAUUUCUAUUUUUUAUGAUAUUAUGUAGGCAACACGAGGCCCAUGUGAGGCGGAAAAAACAUCGCUCUAGUGAAUAUGAAAUAAAACGCAUUCACAGUGAUUCAUUUGCGUCUUGGUUUCAUAGUCAUGUAUAAUCGUAUUUAUUAAAAAAUUCCAUCGAAAUCUAUUUUAAUUUAGUUACUUUAGUAAUACUUUAUUUGUUUUUGCAGGUCCUGGGAAUAAAUUUAAAUGAAGAUGAUCCAAAGCAAAGUGAUAUAUUACGAAUUGCAAGAGAACCUGUUCCUGUUGGAACAAGUUUUAAUGGUUACAAAGUGAAUGGUUUUCGAUUUCACACUAGAGCAAUAGAAAAGAAAAGGAAAACUCAAAAUAGUGGAGUGAUGGUUAGUGCAACAACGACGAGCUUUGCUAGCAAAAAAGAUAGAAGGCCGAUUAUGCAAGAGAUGUCAUAUUAUGGAAUCAUAAAAGAUAUCAUCCAGUUAGACUAUACCGGUGGCAAAAAUGUUAUAUUAUUUGAUUGUGAUUGGGUGUCCAAGGGUAAGAGACUAAAAGAGGAUGAUGAUGGAUUCACUUUGACUAAUUUUGCAAAUAUAAGGCGUCAAAAUGAGCCUUUUGUUCUUGCAUCUCAAGUUGAGCAAGUAUUUUACGUAGAUGAUCCGAGCGAAAAAGAUUGGCAUGUGGUUGUAAAAACUAAGGCUAGAGACAAGUAUGAUGAUGGGAAAGACUUAUGGGCUGACGAUGUUGACACUAUUUUACAAAGUAAAACUUGCAACGAUCGUCCUAUUAUUGAGGAUGAAGCUGUUGUUUGGGUGCGAGACGGAGUCCCUGAAAUUCCAGUGGAUCACUUAGAAGAGAAUCAUGUAGAAGAUACAUAGGACGUGCUCAGCUGCAUUUAGUAUUUACUAUUUUGUAUUAGAGUUAUUUUUUUCUUAUAAUGAUAAUGAAUUAGAAUUUCUUUUCAUGGACAAUAACAGUAAUGAAUCAUUAAUACUAUUAUUCAUCUUUAGAUAGUAUUUAUGUGGCAAUUUUAUUAAUUUAUUGAUUAUAAUUACUAGUUUUAAUAACUUUUCACUGUUAAGAUUGAAUUUACAGUUUGUAAUAUUUCAAGUAUGGCAAGAACGAAGAAUGGCAUGCUGGUAUCAGCUGGAACUCUAGAUCAGCAGAAUGGAGAUACCUCAAGUAAGUUUUAAUUAUAAAACUGCAUUAUUUCUUUAUUUAUUAUUCAUGACAUAAAUUUUGUAGGAAUGGAAAGCAUAAGACUUGGUAAACGUGUCAGG